ACACCCGGUGAUGACUGCAUGGAUCUCCUUCAUCUGCUGGGAUUCAAGCUGUGUUGCUGACACCACACUGAUGCCCAGCACCUUCCUCUCCCAGCCCCCGCCUGGGACUUGGCACCCUGAUUGGUCCAAGCAGCAGCCCAUGACUAGACUGUGGUCCAGGCUGGCGAGUCCAGGAUGAGAGCAUACUUGUCUCCAAACCAGCAUCUCCUAAUGAAAAGAAGCAGCAGCUUAAAAUCAUCUGAUCAAGGGCUGAUCCUUCAU
This 261-nucleotide long non-coding RNA is filed under the name Homo sapiens (human). RNAcentral's name for it is "HSALNT0331603". Lineage: Eukaryota; Metazoa; Chordata; Mammalia; Primates; Hominidae. The record is from RNAcentral.